RNAcentral lists this ribosomal RNA (617 nucleotides) under uncultured Glomeromycotina. Its description in RNAcentral is "eukaryotic LSU rRNA". It matches the Rfam family "Eukaryotic large subunit ribosomal RNA", at positions 293 to 766 of the family's 3401-position model. The record is from RNAcentral. Lineage: Eukaryota; Fungi; Glomeromycota.
UGGGAGGUAAAUUUCUCCUAAGGCUAAAUAUCGGCGAGAGACCGAUAGCGAACAAGUACCGUGAGGGAAAGAUGAAAAGAACUUUGAAAAGAGAGUAAAAUAGUACGUGAAAUUGUUGAAAGGGAAACGAUUGAAGUCAGUCGUACCGACGAGAAAUCAACUUAUCGCGUGCGAACUUGCGGGCGUGCGUGAGUUUCGGCCUCGCUGUUUGUAUGUUCGUGCGUUUUCGGUGUACUUUUUCGUAUGGUAGGCCAACAUCAGUUUCGAUUACUAUAAAAUGACCGGCGGAAUGUAGCUUCGAUUUCGGUUGAAGUGUUAUAGCCUCUGGUAGAUUGUGGUGAUUGGGACUGAGGAUUGCAACGAAUAUCCUUUGGGCUAUCCGUCUGAUCUCUGAAAGUUGCUCAGGUGCCGAAAGCGUGCUUACGGUCAUCUAAGUUGACGGUCAAUAGGUUAGAACGUGAUUACAUUCGUUAAGGAUGUUGGCGUAAUGGCUUUAAACGACCCGUCUUGAAACACGGACCAAGGAGUCUAACAUAUAUGCGAGUGUUCGGGUGUUUAAACCCCUACGCGUAAUGAAAGUAAUUUUGGUGGGAUCACUUUUGUGUGCACCAUCGACC